Molecule: ribosomal RNA, 253 nt
Filed under: uncultured bacterium
Lineage: Bacteria
Description: partial 16S ribosomal RNA
Rfam family: Bacterial small subunit ribosomal RNA
Source: RNAcentral
UACGAAGGGGGCUAGCGUUGCUCGGAAUCACUGGGCGUAAAGCGCACGUAGGCGGCUUUCUAAGUCAGGGGUGAAAUCCUGGAGCUCAACUCCAGAACUGCCUUUGAUACUGGAGGGCUUGAGUCCGGAAGAGGUGAGUGGAACUCCGAGUGUAGAGGUGAAAUUCGUAGAUAUUCGGAAGAACACCAGUGGCGAAGGCGGCUCACUGGUCCGGUACUGACGCUGAUGUGCGAAAGCGUGGGGAGCAAACAGG